AUCCAGCAGGAGGACGAGUCCCAAACAGGACGAAAUGCGCAUCCUGGAU
Non-coding RNA from Trichobilharzia regenti, 49 nucleotides. NCBI's taxonomy places the organism in Eukaryota, Metazoa, Platyhelminthes, Trematoda, Strigeidida, Schistosomatidae. The record is from Rfam.